Molecule: ribosomal RNA, 406 nt
Filed under: uncultured bacterium
Lineage: Bacteria
Description: partial 16S ribosomal RNA
Rfam family: Bacterial small subunit ribosomal RNA
Source: RNAcentral
AUUGAACGCUGGCGGCAGGCCUAACACAUGCAAGUCGAACGAGCGGCGGACGGGUGAGUAAUGUAUGGGGACCUGCCCGAUAGAGGGGGAUAACUACUGGAAACGGUGGCUAAUACCGCAUACUAUCGGAUGUACCCAUAUGGGAUUAGCUUGUAGGGGGGGUAACGGCUCACCUGGGCGACGAUCCCUAGCUGGUCUGAGAGGAUGAUCAGCCACACUGGAACGGAGACACGGCCCAGACGCCUACGGGAGGCAGCAGUGGGGAAUAUUGCACAAUGGGCGCAAGCCUGAUGCAGCCAUGCCGCGUGUAUGAAGAAGGCCUUCGGGUUGUAAAGUACUUUCGGUAGAGAGGCGUUACCCGCAGAAGAAGCACCGGCUAACUCCGUGCCAGCAGCCGCGGUAAUAC